Zonotrichia leucophrys gambelii is the source of this 1504-nucleotide long non-coding RNA. RefSeq lists it as uncharacterized. The transcript is spliced from 2 exons. NCBI's taxonomy places the organism in Eukaryota, Metazoa, Chordata, Aves, Passeriformes, Passerellidae. The record is from RefSeq and is a predicted model, not a curated record.
ACCGCCCAGCGCCGCCGUCCUGCUCAAGGGAAAGGAGGGCGGGAAGCCUUGCCAGCCUUUAUGGACAGCCCCACCCGGCUGAAGGCUGCAGCUGCCAUUUUGAGAAAGGGCACGGCGAGCUGGCCCUCCCAGCCCCUCGCAGCCAGUUUCCUGCGUUUGCGCCGCUCUCAUGCCACCUAAUGCCCCGAAGGCUCGGCACGAAGCAGCGCUGUGAAGGAGCACAUUCCAGCCCGCCCUGAGAAGGAUCCUGGGUCGCCGCAGGGGCAGAUGCUGGGAGCGGCUCCAGGCCCUGCCCGCAGAGGCUGCCCUGCCCGGGGAAUCCCAGCUGGCUCCAGUUAGAUCCGUAGCUCCGUCAGCAGGGACGAUCCCCAGAGAGGGAUGCUGAAAGUCGGGGUUAAAUUAUGAUGGGCUGAACGUGCCUGGUUACGCCUUCAGGGGCGCGCUGUAGGGCAGCCGAGCCGAAAUGAGAGGAGCCGAGGUGGUGCUGAGCCGCACGCCACGGAUUUCCGUGAGGAUUGCCGGGGUGUUCCCUCACACUCCAGCUCAUACAAGCAUGCGGCUCGGAGAAAAAGUAACCCGGAGAUCGGCGAUCAGCUUGAUUAUCGUCAAGGGGAUCUCUCUUGUCUGUUGACCUCAGUGUUUCAUAAGAGAUGCUUCAUGUGCCUAAAGGAGGAAUGAGCCAUGAGGAGAUGCAGUGGCUAAAGCCCUGCGUUGUGUAAGAGCUGUGAAAAACCCCGGUUUUGCACGCAUUCUAACCAUAAAGAAUGCUGUUAUUCGAGCCUCGGUCACUCUUAUUGUCACUGUGUCGAUGCCACUCAUUGAGGGAUAUAAUGUCUCAGUGAUGACAUUGCCUGACUGACGUUUCCUGUUUAUUUCUUUUUAAAUAACAAUACCAAGCACUCACAAAACAUUUUGCACUUUACAGCAAUAUCGAGUAUUAGCUAAUGAGCCUGCUCACACCCAAAUGAGCUAUAUGACACCAUUAUUACAUGCAGACGGUCAGAAUGACUUCCUCAGGGGUAUUGUGAGUCAGUGCCAGAGGUAGCAUUAUGCUCCUGGUCCUAUUUCACAUUCAUUCCAGCAGACUAGAGCUUUGCACACCUGGAAGGUUUGUAAAACCAUUAUGAAUUAUUAAUUGAUUCAUUUUGAUAGUUUAAUUGAUUACUGCAUCAUUUUAUUUCAUGUAAAAGGCUUCAGCUGUGAAAUUCAGUCACUUACUCACUCAUAGGAUCCUAAAAUUGUUCAUUUUCAAAACUUUUAUUUGCAAUCCUGUGAUGUGCCAAGUGCCCACCCUUUUCAGUUGGUACAGGAAAACAUUCUCAUAAUCUGUUUUGAUGGAAGGAAAAGUAUAUUUUGGUGUGACUCUGUCAACUUUCAUUCUGCAUCUUGAGCUUGUGUUGAACCAUUUUUUUCUUUACACUGAAAGGAAUGAGAAGGAGGUGUCUCCAAACAAACUGUGGGCCAGAUAUGGAGAGGUGAAGGAAGUAGUGGGGGGCACCAUGAA